Molecule: long non-coding RNA, 453 nt
Organism: Ahaetulla prasina
Lineage: Eukaryota; Metazoa; Chordata; Lepidosauria; Squamata; Colubridae
Exons: 2
Source: RefSeq, a predicted model, not a curated record
UGGGGAGUGGAAGCCAGCCUCCCCAAAACCACAAAUUCCUGUUUGUUCAACAACAACAACAAAUGAUGGAUAAAGGAGCCUUUUCAGUCAAGGACACAGCAGCUGCACAUGGAAGCAAACGCAACUCGUCCUUCCAGGAGAAAGGGGCCUGACUUUGGAGUUUCCACGAAGGACUAGAAUUUCCCAGGGCUGGAAUCCGCAGAAUGUAAAUAGCCUUCUACAGAUGACUCUGGAAACCUGGGUUGCCCUCCCUGUUUUUCCGUGGCGAACGUGGGAAGAGAACUUGCCAGAUUUAUACGCUGUCUGGAAUGCAGAAAUGCAUUGGGUGACUUCAUCCAUGUGGUAGCAGAUAAAUAAAUAAGCCCGGGUGUCAUUCCUAACCAUCAGAGGCUGCAACUGUUAUGAAAGGACUUCUUCUGUCCAGAUGGUAUAAUAAAUAUAUAUUCAGUUCUA